UUUUGAUUUAUAUUUAUUUCUUGGAUGUCAGUCUUACAUAGUUUGAUUAUGUGGUUUGCUAGUUUUAGUUUUAAGCUUUAAGUGACUAUUUUGGGAAUGUAUUUAGGAGCUUAUUUGUAGAAUUCAAUUACAUUAAAUGAGUUUUCAUUUUUGGGUUCCUUAAAAUUCCUUAAAGUUUUCAGUUUCUUUUUUACAAAUUGCUUAAACUAUUUUUUUUGGCUUUAGAUAUUCAAAGUCAAAUUGGCGUUUAAAAACUUUUUGCUACUUUUUUACUUUGAAAUUGACUUAAUAAACUACUUCCUUUUGGAUUUUUGAAAAGUCAUAACACAGAAAUAAUUAAAAUUUUAACUUUAUGGUUAAAUGUAAUAAGGAAUACUUGAAGGUCCACUCCAGUCCAGGCCUUGCUUUGUUGCCAUCCUGAAUGCUGCACUAAUUAAUAACUUACCUAUCAGGAAACUUGACUUGCUGUGGACUUGUUCCUCUAGUCAAACAUUAUUGAAAGUUAAUGCCCACAGUUUCAAUUUUCUGUGGUUCCUUGUCUCCACAGCCCCCAGAUCCUCCCCAGCCCUCCUCCCAGCAACCGACCCCCCCCCCACCGCCGACCAUCUGGCACCAGCCCUUCCCCUGCCCUGCGUCCUGCCCCAGCCCCAGCCCCAGCCCCAGCCCCAGCCCCAGCCGCCCAGUCCCAGCCCCAGCCCCAGCCCCAGCCCCAGCAUCAGCCCCGCCCCCAGCCCCAGGUCCAUCCCCAGUCCCAAUCCCAGUCCCAAUCCCAGCCCCAGUCCCAGCCCCAGGCCCAGGCCCAGCCCCAGCCCCAGCCCCAGCCCCAGCCCCAGGCCCAGCCCCAGGCCCAGCCCCAGCCCCAGGCCCAGCCCCAGCCAUCACCCCUAAAGUCAUUCCCAAUUUGCAUUGAUUUGGUGCUAAAAAUAAGUUGUCCAUUGCUGGUCCAUAAGACUGGAAUACCCUAUCUGCCUCUCUAGCAUUGCUAAUUUUCUGAGUUGACUACUUGAGUCAUUUUCAAUUAAUGUACACAAUCCCAUUUGCCCACUGUCCCAUGUUAGAACAAACAGUCCAUGUACCUUUGUGUUAAUGUUAGAAAAUGUUAUUUAAGAGCUUCAUAUCAGACACCUAUUGUUCAUAAUUUUGGUUAUUCAUCAUCUCUCCCGUGCCCUUCAGGAAGGAGAAACCAUUCCUCUGUCAUUGCUGCAGUAGUCACAGUCCCAGUUUUCUGGGCAGUGUUCAUAAAUUGUGCUGAUCCACCUGAACUCUACACUGAGUGAAAUUUUAAUUGUCCAUAAUCCUGCCCAUUGGAUUAGAUCCCAGUCCAAUACCCUUGUGCUGAAUUCAGGAGUGGGUGCAGAGAACAUGAGUCUUUAAACGGUUAACAUGCUCAGUCCCAAUUGUAUCAGCCUUGUUCAUUAAACAAAGGCACCCUACCAUUUUUGUCCUGCUUCUGGGAUUAAAGUACCAAAUUGUUAUUGUACAUCGUCUUGCCCAGUAAUCAAUGACCCUCCAUCCCCUUUGCAUUGCUACUAGGAAGUGCUGACUACCUGGGAUCAUAUUCCUUGAAUGAGUAAUGAGUAUAAUCCCAAUUGUCCACGCCCCUGUUCAUUACACAAAUCCUUUGCAACUUCUUUGCAUUAUAGCAGAGGUGCUCAUCCUCAGAGUCCUUUAACUUUGGGAUAUUAAUGAGUACAAUUAUUAUUGUUCAUGGUCCUGUCUGAAAGACAAGACCCACCCAUGCUCUUUUCAUUACUUCUAGGUAGUGCAGACUGCUUACUACCUUGCAUUAAUAUAUAAAAUCCUCAUUGCCCAUGGCCCCACCAGUUAGUUUGGGAUAUAACCUUAUCUUUAUGCCAUUGCUUAUGAGGAGUUCUGAUUACCUGAGGUCAAUUCUUUUAAACAGUUGGUGUGCAUAAUUGCAUAUAUCCAUGGUGCUGUGCAAUGAAAAAUGAAAUCCCACCCCAUCCUAACCUCUUUGGGAUAUUGCUAGGGAGUGCAGAUUAUUCAAGAACUCAGUUCUUGGACAGUUAAUUUGCACAGUUGCAGUUGUGCAGAGUCCUGUCCAUUUAAAAGGGCCACUAUAUCCCAUUUGCAUGCUAUAAUGUGGGCUGAUCACUCAAGGAUCCUCUUGAAUUGAUAAUUUUCAUAAUUGCAUUGGCACGUAUUCUGUGAACUAGCCACACGCACUCCCUUUGUAUUCUAGCAGGGGACCUUUACUAAAGAACUAUACACUUAGGAUACUUUGUGUGUACAAUAUUAAUUGAUUAGACUGAGCCUUUUGUAUUAGGAACUCUGCACCAUCUUUACAUCUAAAAGGUGCUAAUUACCUAAGGCUCUUCUCCUAAAAUUGUUCAUGUGCAAAAUGGCGAUCUCCGAUGUCUCCUGUGGUUAACCUAGAAUCCCAUUUCCACCUAACUCCCUUUGCAUUACUGCAGAGGCUGCUUGGGCCCUUUAAGGGGCUUAAGGCAGUUAUAGUCCCUUCUGUUAGUCUAUGUUCUCAUCCCCUCCUAUUUCCUUUGCAUUACUGCACUGAAUACUUGGAAAUGUUAAUGUUCAUAAUUGCAGCUAUAAUUCCUUCUGUUAGUCUAGGAUCCUGUCCCUUUCUACUCAUUUUGCAUUAGCAUAAAGUGUACAAUGGGACUGUUAACGUGCUUAAAUGUAGCUCUGUCCCUUAUGUUAGUGUAGGAUUCCAUCCUCUUCAACUCCCUAUGCGUUACAGCUGAGGGUAGUUGGGAUCUUUAAGGUCCUCAAAGGCGGCUAUGGUGCCUUCUGUUAGUCUAGGAUCCCAUCCCCUCCUACUUCCUUUGCAUUUCUGCAGAGGAUACUUGGGACUGUAAUGUGGGUAAUUGCUGCCAGAGUUCUUUCGGUUUGUCUAGGAUCCCAGUCCCCUCCCUCUUACUGAGUUUGCAUUACACGGAGUACAAGGGACUGCUAAUGUGCUUAAAUGGCAGCUAUGGUCUCUGUUAACCUAGGAUCCCUUUUUCUCCAUUUAAAUGCAGAGGGUACUUGGGACUGUUGAUGUGCAUAAUUGCAGUUAUGGUCCCUUCGGCUGGAUCCUAUCCCCACCUACUCCCUUUGCAUUAUCAUGAAGGGUACAAUGGGACUAUUAAUGAGCUUAAUUGUAGCUAUAGUUCCUUCAGUUAACCUAGUUUCCCAUGCACUCCCACUUCCUUUGUAUUACAACAGAGGGUACUUGAGACUUUUAAGGUGCUUAAAUGCAGCUAUGGCCCUUUCUGUUUAUGUUCCCAUCCCCUCCUACUUUGCAUUACUGCAGAGGAUACUUGGGACUAUUAAUGUGCCUACUUGCCACUGUAGUCCCUUCUUUUGUCUGGGAUCCCAUCCCCUCCUACAGGGUUUGCAUUACCACAGAAGUUACAAGGGCCUAUUAAUGUGCUUAAAGGCAGCUAUGGUUUCUUCUCUUAACCUGGGAUCCAGUCCUUGUCUAACUUCCUUUGCAUUAUUGCGAAGGGUACUUGGGACUGUUAAUGUCCUCUAAGGCAGUUAUGGUUCCUUACGUCACUGUAAGAUUCCAUUCUCUCUAACUCCCUAUGCAUUACUGCACAGGGUACUUGGGCCCUUUAAGGUGCUUAAAUGCAGCUAUGGCCCUUUCUGUUAGUUUAUGUUCCUAUCCCCUCCUAUUUCCUUUGCAUUCCUGCAGAGGCUACUUGGGACUGUAAAUGUGCUUAAUUGCAGUUACAAUCCCUUCUGUUAGUCUAGGAUUCCAUCCCCUUCUAUUCGCUUUGCAUUAGCACACCAAUGUGCAUGGGACUGUUAAUGUGCUAAAUGCAGUUCUGUCCCUUAUUAAUGUAGGAUUCCCUCCUCUCCAACUCCCUGUGCAUUACAGCAGAGGGUACUUGGCACCUUUAAGGUGCUUGAAUGUAGCUGUGGUGCCUUCUGUCAAGUCUAGGAUCCCAUUCCCCUUCUACUCCCUUUACAUUACAUGGCAGGGCAUUUGGGACUGUUCUUGUGCGUAACUGCAGUUACAGUCCCUUCUGUUCGUCUAGUUUCCCAUGCCCUCCUACUUCCUUUGCAUUACAGCAGAGGGUACUUGAGACCUUUAAGGUGUUUAAUUGCAGCCACGGUCCCUUCUGUUAGUCUAGGAUCUCACAUCCUUUAACUCCCUUUGUAUUCCCUGGGAUUGUCUUUGGGACUGUUAAAGUGCUUAGUUGCAGCUAUGGUCCCUUUCCUUAGUCUAGGGUCCCAUCCCUUCCUAUUCACUUUGUAUUACCUGGAAGUGGAUUUGGGACUAUUAAUGUGCUUCUUUGCAGCUGUGGUCCCGUUUGUUAGUCUGGGGUCCUGUGUGUUCCAACUCCUUCUGCACACAACAAGGACUACUUGGGACUAUUAAUAUGUUUAAUUUUAGCUGUGGUCCCUUCCAGUAGUCUAGGUCCCCUCCAUCUUCUAUUCGCUUUGCAUUAGCACACAGUGUACACGGGACUGUUAAUGUGCUUAAAUGAAGCCUUGUCCCUCAUGUUAAUGUCGGAUUCCCUCCUCUCCAACUCCCUGUGCAUUAUAGCAGAGGGUGCUUGGCACCUUUAAGGUGCUUGAAUGUAGCUGUGGUGCCUUCUGUCAGUCUAGGAUCCCAUCCCCUCCUGUUUCCUUUGCCUUUAUGCAGAGGAUACUUGGGACUGUAAAUGUGCUUAACUGCCACCAGAGUCCCUUUAGUUUGUCUAGGAUCCCAUCCCCUCCUAUUCAGUUUGCAUUACAGAGUUUACAUGAGACUGUUAUUGUGCUUAAAUCCUAUCCCCACCUAACUACUUUUGCAUUAUACGUAAUGUAUAUGAAGUCUCUUAUAUGCUUAAAUGAAGCCUUGUCCCUCAUGUUAAUGUCGGAUUCCCUCCUCUCCAACUCCCUGUGCAUUACAGCAGAGGGUACUUGGCACCUUUAAGGUGCUUGAAUGUAGCUGUGGUGCCUUCUGUCAAGUCUAGGAUCCCAUUCCCCUUCUACUCCCUUUACAUUACAUGGCAGGGCAUUUGGGACUGUUCUUGUGCGUAACUGCAGUUACAGUCCCUUCUUUUAGUCUAGGAUCCUAUGCCCUCCCACUUCCUUUGCAUUAGAGCAGAUGGUGUUUGGGACUGUUAAUGAACUUAAUUACAGCUAUAGUCCCUUCUGUUAAUCUAGUUUCCCACGCACUCCUACUUCCUUUCAUUUCAGCAGAGGGUACAUGAGACCUUUAAGGUGCUUAAGUGCAGGUAUGGCCCAUUCUGUUUCUGUUCCCAUCUCCUACUUCCUUCGCAUUACUGCAGAGGCUACUUGGGACUGUUAAUGUGCCUAAUUGCCGCUAUAGUUUUUUCUGUUUGUCUAGAUUCUUAUCCUCUCCUGCAUGGUUUGCAUCACCAAAGAGAGUACAAGGGACUGUUAAGGUGCUUAAAUGCAGCUACUGUCUUUUCUGUUAACUUAGGUUCCCAUCCCCACCUAAUUCUCUUUGCAUUAUUGCAGAGGGCACUUGAGACUGCUAAUGAACUUACCGUAGCAGUGGUCCCUUCUAUUAGAGUAGGAACCCGUUCCCACAUACUCCCUUUACAUUGUCAUGGAGGGUACAUGGGACUGUUAAUGUGCUUAAAUGCAUCCACAGACCCUUAAGUUUGUAGGAUUCCAUCCUGGCCAACUCCUUGUGUAUUACAGCAGAGGGUAGUUUUGACCUUGAAGGUGCUUAAAUGCAGCUGUGGCCCCUUCUGUUAGUUUAUGUUCCUAUCCUCUCCUACUUUGCAUUACUGCAGAGGAUAGUUGGGACUGUUAGCAUGCCUAAUUGCUGCUACAAUCCCUUCUGUUAGUCUAAGAUCACGUCUCAUUCCACACCGUUUGCAUUACCACAGAGGGUACAAGGGAUUGUUAAUGUGUUUAAACGCAGCUAAGAUCUCUUCUAUUAACCUAGGACCUGGUCCCCACCUAACUCUGUCUGCAUUAUUGCAGAGGGUGCUUGGGACUGUUAAUGUGCUGUAAUGCAGCUAUGGUCCCUUCUUUUAGACCAGGAUCCCAUCCCUACCUACUCCCUUUGCAUUAUCAUGGAGCAUACGUGGGACUGUUAAUGUGCUUAAAUGAAGCCAUGGUCCCUUAUGUUAGUGUAGGAUUCCAUCCUCUUCAACUCCCUGUGUGUUACAGCAGAGGGUAGUUGGGUUCUUUAAGGUCCUCAAAGGCAGCUAUGGUGCCUUCUGUUAGUCUAGGAUCCCAUCCCCUCCUACUUCCUUGCAUUUCUGCAGAGGAUACUUGGGACAGUUAAUGUGCCUAAUUGCCACUAAAGUCCCUUCUGUUGUCUAUGAUCCCAUCCCCUCCCAAAUCGUUUGCAUUGCUACAGAAGGUACAAGGGACAAUUAAGUGUUUGAAUGCAGCUACUGUCUCUUCUGUUAAUCUAGGAUCCUGUCCUCUUACUGGGUUUCCAUUACCACAGUAAGUACAAGGGACUGUUAAUGUAUCGAAUUGCCACUACAGUCCCUUCUGUUUGUCUAGGAUCCUGUCCCUCCUACAGGGUUUGCAAUACCACAAAAAGUACAAGGGACUGUUAAUGUGUUUAAAGGCAGCUAAAGUCUCUUCUGUUAACCUAGGAUUCCAUCCCCACCUAAUUGCAUUUGCAUAAUUGCAGAGGGUACUUGGGACUGUUAAUGUGCUUAAGUGCAGCUAUGGUCCCUUAUGUUAAUGUAGGAUUCCAUUCUCUCUAACUCCCUGUGCAUUACAGCAGAGGGUAGUUGGGACCUUUAAGGUUCUUAAACACAGCUGUGGGGCCUUCUGAUAGUCUAGGAUCCCAUCCCCACCUAACUCCCUUUGCAUUACUGCAGAGGAUACUUGGGACUGUUAAUGUGCCUACUUGCCACUAUAGUCCUUUCUGUUUGUCUAGGAUCCCAUCUCCUCCUACAGCAUUUGCAUUAUCACCGAUGGUGCGAGGAACUGUUAAUGUGCUUAAAUGUACUUAUGGUCCCUUCUGUUAGACGAGGAUUCCAUCGCCACCUAUUCCCUUUGCAUCAUGGAGGGUACAUGGGACUGUUAAUGUUGCUUAAAUGCAGCUACAGCCCAUAUGUUAGUGUAGGGAUUCCAUCCUCUCUAACUCCUUAUGCAUUAACAGCAGAGGGUAGUUGUGAUCUUCACGGUCCUCAAAGGCAGCUAUGGUGCCUUCUGUUAGUCUAGGAUCCCAUCCCCACCUCACUUCCUUUGCAUUACAUAGAGGGUACUUGAGACCUUUAAGGUGCUUAAAUGCAGCUGUGGCCCCUUCUGUUUAUGUUUCCAUCCUCUCCUAUUUUGCAUUACUGCAGAGGGUACUUGGGACUGUUGAUGUGCCUAAUUGCUGCUAUAGUCCCUUCUGUUUGUCUGGGAUCCCAUCCCCUCCUACAGGGUUUGCAUUACCACUGAGGGUGUGAGGGACUGUUAAUGUGCUGUAAUGCAGCUAUGGUCCCUUCUUACAGACCAGAAUCCCAUCCCUACCUACUCCCUUUGCAUUAUCAUGGAGCGUACAUGGGACUGUUAAUGUGCUUAAAUGAAGCCAUGUCCCUUAUGUUAGUGUAGGAUUCCAUCCUCUUCAACUCCCUAUGCGUUACAGCUGAGGGUAGUUGGGAUCUUUAAGGUCCUCAAAGGCGGCUAUGGUGCCUUCUGUUAGUCUAGGAUCCCAUCCCCUCCUAUUUCCUUUGCCUUUAUGCAGAGGAUACUUGGGACUGUAAAUGUGCUUAACUGCCACCAGAGUCCCUUUAGUUUGUCUAGGAUCCCAUCCCCUCCUACUCAGUUUGCAUUACAGAGUUUACAUGAGACUGUUAUUGUGCUUAAAUCCUAUCCCCACCUAACUACUUUUGCAUUAUACGUAAUGUAUAUGAAGUCUCUUAUAUGCUUAAAUGAAGCCUUGUCCCUCAUGUUAAUGUCGGAUUCCCUCCUCUCCAACUCCCUGUGCAUUACAGCAGAGGGUACUUGGCACCUUUAAGGUGCUUGAAUGUAGCUGUGGUGCCUUCUGUCAAGUCUAGGAUCCCAUUCCCCUUCUACUCCCUUUACAUUACAUGGCAGGGCAUUUGGGACUGUUCUUGUGCGUAACUGCAGUUACAGUCCCUUCUGUUCGUCUAGUUUCCCAUGCCCUCCUACUUCCUUUGCAUUACAGCAGAGGGUACUUGAGACCUUUAAGGUGUUUAAUUGCAGCCACGGUCCCUUCUGUUAGUCUAGGAUCUCACAUCCUUUAACUCCCUUUGUAUUCCCUGGGAUUGUCUUUGGGACUGUUAAAGUGCUUAGUUGCAGCUAUGGUCCCUUUCCUUAGUCUAGGGUCCCAUCCCUUCCUAUUCACUUUGUAUUACCUGGAAGUGGAUUUGGGACUAUUAAUGUGCUUCUUUGCAGCUGUGGUCCCGUUUGUUAGUCUGGGGUCCUGUGUGUUCCAACUCCUUCUGCACACAACAAGGACUACUUGGGACUAUUAAUAUGUUUAAUUUUAGCUGUGGUCCCUUCCAGUAGUCUAGGUCCCCUCCAUCUUCUAUUCGCUUUGCAUUAGCACACAGUGUACACGGGACUGUUAAUGUGCUUAAAUGAAGCCUUGUCCCUCAUGUUAAUGUCGGAUUCCCUCCUCUCCAACUCCCUGUGCAUUAUAGCAGAGGGUGCUUGGCACCUUUAAGGUGCUUGAAUGUAGCUGUGGUGCCUUCUGUCAGUCUAGGAUCCCAUCCCCUCCUGUUUCCUUUGCCUUUAUGCAGAGGAUACUUGGGACUGUAAAUGUGCUUAACUGCCACCAGAGUCCCUUUAGUUUGUCUAGGAUCCCAUCCCCUCCUAUUCAGUUUGCAUUACAGAGUUUACAUGAGACUGUUAUUGUGCUUAAAUCCUAUCCCCACCUAACUACUUUUGCAUUAUACGUAAUGUAUAUGAAGUCUCUUAUAUGCUUAAAUGAAGCCUUGUCCCUCAUGUUAAUGUCGGAUUCCCUCCUCUCCAACUCCCUGUGCAUUACAGCAGAGGGUACUUGGCACCUUUAAGGUGCUUGAAUGUAGCUGUGGUGCCUUCUGUCAAGUCUAGGAUCCCAUUCCCCUUCUACUCCCUUUACAUUACAUGGCAGGGCAUUUGGGACUGUUCUUGUGCGUAACUGCAGUUACAGUCCCUUCUUUUAGUCUAGGAUCCUAUGCCCUCCCACUUCCUUUGCAUUAGAGCAGAUGGUGUUUGGGACUGUUAAUGAACUUAAUUACAGCUAUAGUCCCUUCUGUUAAUCUAGUUUCCCACGCACUCCUACUUCCUUUCAUUUCAGCAGAGGGUACAUGAGACCUUUAAGGUGCUUAAGUGCAGGUAUGGCCCAUUCUGUUUCUGUUCCCAUCUCCUACUUCCUUCGCAUUACUGCAGAGGCUACUUGGGACUGUUAAUGUGCCUAAUUGCCGCUAUAGUUUUUUCUGUUUGUCUAGAUUCUUAUCCUCUCCUGCAUGGUUUGCAUCACCAAAGAGAGUACAAGGGACUGUUAAGGUGCUUAAAUGCAGCUACUGUCUUUUCUGUUAACUUAGGUUCCCAUCCCCACCUAAUUCUCUUUGCAUUAUUGCAGAGGGCACUUGAGACUGCUAAUGAACUUACCGUAGCAGUGGUCCCUUCUAUUAGAGUAGGAACCCGUUCCCACAUACUCCCUUUACAUUGUCAUGGAGGGUACAUGGGACUGUUAAUGUGCUUAAAUGCAUCCACAGACCCUUAAGUUUGUAGGAUUCCAUCCUGGCCAACUCCUUGUGUAUUACAGCAGAGGGUAGUUUUGACCUUGAAGGUGCUUAAAUGCAGCUGUGGCCCCUUCUGUUAGUUUAUGUUCCUAUCCUCUCCUACUUUGCAUUACUGCAGAGGAUAGUUGGGACUGUUAGCAUGCCUAAUUGCUGCUACAAUCCCUUCUGUUAGUCUAAGAUCACGUCUCAUUCCACACCGUUUGCAUUACCACAGAGGGUACAAGGGAUUGUUAAUGUGUUUAAACGCAGCUAAGAUCUCUUCUAUUAACCUAGGACCUGGUCCCCACCUAACUCUGUCUGCAUUAUUGCAGAGGGUGCUUGGGACUGUUAAUGUGCUGUAAUGCAGCUAUGGUCCCUUCUUUUAGACCAGGAUCCCAUCCCUACCUACUCCCUUUGCAUUAUCAUGGAGCAUACGUGGGACUGUUAAUGUGCUUAAAUGAAGCCAUGGUCCCUUAUGUUAGUGUAGGAUUCCAUCCUCUUCAACUCCCUGUGUGUUACAGCAGAGGGUAGUUGGGUUCUUUAAGGUCCUCAAAGGCAGCUAUGGUGCCUUCUGUUAGUCUAGGAUCCCAUCCCCUCCUACUUCCUUGCAUUUCUGCAGAGGAUACUUGGGACAGUUAAUGUGCCUAAUUGCCACUAAAGUCCCUUCUGUUGUCUAUGAUCCCAUCCCCUCCCAAAUCGUUUGCAUUGCUACAGAAGGUACAAGGGACAAUUAAGUGUUUGAAUGCAGCUACUGUCUCUUCUGUUAAUCUAGGAUCCUGUCCUCUUACUGGGUUUCCAUUACCACAGUAAGUACAAGGGACUGUUAAUGUAUCGAAUUGCCACUACAGUCCCUUCUGUUUGUCUAGGAUCCUGUCCCUCCUACAGGGUUUGCAAUACCACAAAAAGUACAAGGGACUGUUAAUGUGUUUAAAGGCAGCUAAAGUCUCUUCUGUUAACCUAGGAUUCCAUCCCCACCUAAUUGCAUUUGCAUAAUUGCAGAGGGUACUUGGGACUGUUAAUGUGCUUAAGUGCAGCUAUGGUCCCUUAUGUUAAUGUAGGAUUCCAUUCUCUCUAACUCCCUGUGCAUUACAGCAGAGGGUAGUUGGGACCUUUAAGGUUCUUAAACACAGCUGUGGGGCCUUCUGAUAGUCUAGGAUCCCAUCCCCACCUAACUCCCUUUGCAUUACUGCAGAGGAUACUUGGGACUGUUAAUGUGCCUACUUGCCACUAUAGUCCUUUCUGUUUGUCUAGGAUCCCAUCUCCUCCUACAGCAUUUGCAUUAUCACCGAUGGUGCGAGGAACUGUUAAUGUGCUUAAAUGUACUUAUGGUCCCUUCUGUUAGACGAGGAUUCCAUCGCCACCUAUUCCCUUUGCAUCAUGGAGGGUACAUGGGACUGUUAAUGUUGCUUAAAUGCAGCUACAGCCCAUAUGUUAGUGUAGGGAUUCCAUCCUCUCUAACUCCUUAUGCAUUAACAGCAGAGGGUAGUUGUGAUCUUCACGGUCCUCAAAGGCAGCUAUGGUGCCUUCUGUUAGUCUAGGAUCCCAUCCCCACCUCACUUCCUUUGCAUUACAUAGAGGGUACUUGAGACCUUUAAGGUGCUUAAAUGCAGCUGUGGCCCCUUCUGUUUAUGUUUCCAUCCUCUCCUAUUUUGCAUUACUGCAGAGGGUACUUGGGACUGUUGAUGUGCCUAAUUGCUGCUAUAGUCCCUUCUGUUUGUCUGGGAUCCCAUCCCCUCCUACAGGGUUUGCAUUACCACUGAGGGUGUGAGGGACUGUUAAUGUGCUGUAAUGCAGCUAUGGUCCCUUCUUACAGACCAGAAUCCCAUCCCUACCUACUCCCUUUGCAUUAUCAUGGAGCGUACAUGGGACUGUUAAUGUGCUUAAAUGAAGCCAUGUCCCUUAUGUUAGUGUAGGAUUCCAUCCUCUUCAACUCCCUAUGCGUUACAGCUGAGGGUAGUUGGGAUCUUUAAGGUCCUCAAAGGCGGCUAUGGUGCCUUCUGUUAGUCUAGGAUCCCAUCCCCUCCUAUUUCCUUUGCCUUUAUGCAGAGGAUACUUGGGACUGUAAAUGUGCUUAACUGCCACCAGAGUCCCUUUAGUUUGUCUAGGAUCCCAUCCCCUCCUACUCAGUUUGCAUUACAGAGUUUACAUGAGACUGUUAUUGUGCUUAAAUCCUAUCCCCACCUAACUACUUUUGCAUUAUACGUAAUGUAUAUGAAGUCUCUUAUAUGCUUAAAUGAAGCCUUGUCCCUCAUGUUAAUGUCGGAUUCCCUCCUCUCCAACUCCCUGUGCAUUACAGCAGAGGGUACUUGGCACCUUUAAGGUGCUUGAAUGUAGCUGUGGUGCCUUCUGUCAAGUCUAGGAUCCCAUUCCCCUUCUACUCCCUUUACAUUACAUGGCAGGGCAUUUGGGACUGUUCUUGUGCAUAACUGCAGUUACAGUCCCUUCUGUUCGUCUAGUUUCCCAUGCCCUCCUACUUCCUUUGCAUUACAGCAGAGGGUACUUGAGACCUUUAAGGUGUUUAAUUGCAGCCACGGUCCCUUCUGUUAGUCUAGGAUCUCACAUCCUUUAACUCCCUUUGUAUUCCCUGGGAUUGUCUUUGGGACUGUUAAAGUGCUUAGUUGCAGCUAUGGUCCCUUUCCUUAGUCUAGGGUCCCAUCCCUUCCUAUUCACUUUGUAUUACCUGGAAGUGGAUUUGGGACUAUUAAUGUGCUUGUUUGCAGCUGUGGUCCCGUUUGUUAAGUCUGGGGUCCCGUGUGUUCCAACUCCUUCUGCACACAGCAAGGACUACUUGGGACUACUAAUAUGUCCUCCUACACCUUUGUAUUACCUGGUAGUAUUUGGAACUAAAAAGUUCUUAAUGGCACCUGUGGUCCCUUCUGUUGUUACAGGAUCCCAGUGUUGGCCAACUCCCUUUGUAUUACAGCAGAGGGCAUUGGAUUGUUAAUAGGCUUAACUGUAGCUGUGGUCCCUUCUGUUAGUCUAGUAUCCCAAGCCUUCCAACUGCCUUUGUGUUACCUGGGAGUGUAUUUGGAACCGUUAAAUUGCUUAAUUGCAGCUGUUGUCUCUUCUAUUAGUAUAGUUUCCCAUGUCCUCCUAUUCAAUUUACAUUACAACAGAGGGUCCUUGGGAUUGUUAAUUGCUGCUGUUGUACCUUCUGUAAUUCCUGGGUUCCCAUCUCCUCCUACUCUGUUUACACUACCUGGGAGGAUUUUUGGGACUGUUAGAAGGCGCUACACAACUAAAUCGAGCAUUUUUUGUUAGUAUUGUUCCCAUGCCCUCCUAUUUUCUUUGCAUUACAACAGAUGGUACUUGGGACUGUUAAAGUACUUAAUUGCAGGUGUGGUCCCGACCGUUAGUCUAGGAUCUCAUUCCCUUCUCCCUUUACAUUAUUGGGAGCAGAUACGGGAAUGUUAACGAGCUUAAUUACAGUUGUUGUCCCUUCUAUUAGUCUAGUUUCCAGUCCCUUCCAACUCCCUUUGCAUUACUUAGGAACAGAUUUGAGACUGUAAUAUGCUUACUUGCAGCUGUGGACCCUUCUGUUAGUCUAGCAUCCCAUGCCCUCUAACUUUCUGUCCAUUACAGCAGAGGAUAUUUGGGACUUUUAAUGGGCUUAAUUGCAGUCCUGAUCCCUUUUGUUAACCUAGGAUCCUAUGUCCUCCAACUCACUUUGCAUUACCUGAGGAUGUAUUUGGGACUGUUUAAAUGCUCAGUUGGAGCUGUGGUCCCUUUUGUGUGUCUAGUUUCCCAUGCCCUCCUACUCUUUUGCAUUAUAGCAGUGGGUACUUGGGGCUGUUAAAGUACUUAACACUUAAAGUGUAGUCACUUUUGUUGGUUUAGGAUCCCAUCCGCUUCUACUCCCUUUACAUUACCUGGGAGGACUUUGGGGAUCGUUAAAGUGCUCAUUUGCACCUGUGGUGCCCUCUGUUCGUCUAGGAUCCGAUGCCCUCUAACUCCCUUUGCUGUAUUACAGCACGUGGUACUUGGGACUGUUACUGUGCUUAAAUACAGGUGUGGUCCAUUUUGCUAGUCAUGACCACCUCCUCCCUUUAUAUUACCUGGGAGCAGAUCUCGUACUGAAAGGUGCUUAAUUGCAGCCGUGUUCCCUUCUGUUAGUUUAGGAUUCUACACCUCCAACUCUGCAUUACAGCAGAGAAUACUUGGGCCUGUCAAAUGCUCACAGCUGUGGUACCUUCUGUCUUGUAGGAACCCAUGCCCACCAACUCCCUUUACAUUAUCUGGGAGUAUAUUUGGGGAGGAUAAAGUGCUUAAUUUUAGCAGUGGUUCCCUUUGUUAGUAUAUUUUCCCAUGCCCUCCUACUGUCUUUGCAUUAUAGCAGAGGGUACUUGGGACUGUGAAUGUGCUUAAAUGCAGUUGUGGUCCCUCUUGUUAGUCUAGGGUCCCAUGCCCUCUCACUCCUUUUACAUUACCUCAGAAGAUACUUGGGACUAUUAAGGUGUAUCCCAUUCACUCACACCCUGUUAACGUUACAGUAGGGGUUUGCUGAAAACCAAGGCCCCCCCUUUUUUUGCAUUGUUAAUGUGCAUAAUUGUAUUUGUUCCUUUUUCUCUGCAGUAGAUAAGAUUUCACUAAUUUCCCAUGUAUUCAGUAGUGGAUGCACUUUAUUUAAGACCUUUGUACUAGGAUAAAGUGAACCAUAGUAGUUGACCACACUAUGUCUUUCAUUUAAGUCCUCUGUACUCUCUUGGAAUUAAUUACCUCAGUUACUUUUUUCCAGGACUAUUUGUGUGCAAAAUUCCAAUGAUUAUGGUCCUUCUCUUUAAACUAAUUUCCCACCUUUUUUAUAUUACAUCAGGGGAUGCUAGUAUCUUAAAGUUCUUUUCUUGGGACUCUUAAUGUGCAUGUGCCCUCUUAAUAAGCUAAUAUCCUUACUUCUUAGUAUUAUAUGGGGGUACUGACCUACAGCCUUUCUGUUGGACAGUUAAGCCAAAUUGCACUGGGAUCCCACCCCCAUAACACCUUCUCUGUGUCAGGGGUGCUGACCAACUAUGACUGCUUCUCCUGUGCAGUUUAAAUGUGCAUAAUUAGAGCAAUCCAUGCUCCCUUAUGUUAGAGUAAGAUCUCAUUUCUUUGCCCAAUUUACAUUAUUCCAGGGGCUUCUGACUAGCCAAGAUUCACGCCCUUGGACUGUUUGUGCAUACUUAACAUUUGCUCUUAUACCUGUACACCAGGUAAGCAUCCUCCCCAUACUAUUUAUAUUCUAGCAGGAGGUGCCUACUACUCAAGAUAUUACACACUAAUGCAGUUAAAUGUGCACAACCUUGUUGUUUUGUACACACUCAGUUGUCCACAACUGUGCCUAAGUUCAGAACUUUGCACUUACUGAAACAGAGGUGACUGAUCACAUUAAAGCCUUUCUCUUGGGACUGUGGAUGUGUGUAGUUUCAGUUGUCCACUGUUCUUUGAGUUAACUUGGGUCCCUGACUCUUCAGAACCUCUAAGCUUUACUGCAUGGGAUACUGUCAAUUUAAGGCCUCUUUCUCAAACUGUUAAUGUGCAUAAUGACAAUUAAAUUAGGAUUCUUACCCUUCACACUGCCUUUGAAGUACUGCAGGAAAUUCUGACUCAUAAGGUCCCAUUUCUUGGCCUGUUAAGAUGUAUGAUUGUAUUUGUCUGGGUUCCUGUGUACUAGAGAAGAACACCUCUCCCCACUCCCUCUUAUCUAUUAUCUAUUACGCAGGGAGUGCCCCCUCUACAAGGCUGUUACACUUGAGCAGUCAAGGAACACAAUUGUAAUUGACCACAACCAUGCACCAUGGAUAUUAAUGUGCACAAUUGCACAUGGCUCAUCCCAUUUGAAUAAGGUACUACCCUCUCAGACCCCUUUUGUAGUAUAGCAGGGGUACUGAUCACUAAGGCCUUUAUUCAUGGCCUGUGGUUAUGCGUAAUUGCAUUUGCACAUGUUUCUGUACACUGAAUUAAGGACACCCCUCUCCCCACUCCCUUUACCUUUUAGCAGGGAGUGCCCAUUACUUUAAGAUCCUUAUAUUUGUACAAGGUACAUGGUUUUAAUUAACCAUACCAUAUCCCUUAGGCAUUAAUGUACAUAAUUGCAGCUUAGUUCGUCCUACCCUGUUGUAUGUCAUUGCAGUAUACCAAGGUUGCUGACCCCUAACUUGUCCUGUUAAUGUGCGUAAUUGCAUUUGUCUGGGUUCUUAGGCACUAGAUGAGGAGACACCACCCACCCCUACUUCUAAGCCUUCCAGUAGGUGGUGCCCAUUGCUAAGACAUUUACAUUUGGAUAGUUAAUGCGCAGAAUUGUAGUUUUCCACAACCCUGUCACUUCCAAAACUAUCAUACCUCCUUUGCACUGCUGCAGGGGAUACUCUUUUCUCCCAAAGGUCCUUGUAGCAAACCGCUAACAUUCAUAAUUGAAAUUGUUCUCUUGUCUUCAGUAGACUAAGGUCCUAUACCCUCACCUUCCCUUUGCAAUACAGCAGAGUGUGCUGAUGAACUAAGGCCCUCUUUUGGACUGUUAGUACGUGCAAUUGCAUUUUUUCCUGUUUUAUGUACUCAAUAAGGACCCUACCUACUUCCUUAGCAUGUUUAGCAGGUAGUGUCCACUAUUUAAAACUCUUUCACUUGGAAAGUUCAUGUGUAUAAAUGCAGUUUGCUAAGCAUGCCUUAUACUAGAACCCCUGUACCCUCUUUGCUUUGGAGUAAGGAGAUGCUAUUUACCUAAUGCCCUUUCUUUUGGACUUUAAUGUGUAUAAUUGCAAUUGUCCAUCUUUUCUGUUGGACUAGGAUUGCAUCCCCUCAAACUCCCUUUGCAUCAGGGGCAUGUUAACCAUAAAUGAGCUCUUCCUGAGAGUAUUAAUAUACAUACUUGUAUUUGUUUGUGGAUUUGUGCAGUGUGAAAGGAUGCUUUAUGCCCCUACCAUUGCCUUUGGAUUGCUGCUGAGGACUGCUAUCAUGACCUCAGCUCUUGGACAAUUAAUAUGCCCCACUAGCAAUGAUGGGACCUAUGUACUCCCUUUGUAUACAUCAGGGGUACUGACUAAGGUCCCUUUCUUGGACAGUCAAUGGGCAAUUAUCUAUGUUCCCUUCUGUUAGAUUUAGGAUAACAUUCCCUUAAACCCCCUUUGCAUUACUAUAGUAAUUACUAUACUAUUAUACUUUGUGCUGACCACACAAAACUUCUCCUGGGACUGUUAAUGGGCACAAUGGCAAUUAGCAAUGAGUUUUUCCUCCCUGGCCUUGUUAGGCAAACAUUCCCAGCCCCAAUUUUGCAUGACAUAAUUUAAGUAUAAACAUUGCAGUAUGCUGUGAACUUGUCUAUCAAAUAGCAACCCAUACUCCCUCUCCUUUUGUAUUGCUCCUAUCUAUAAAAUUCCAAGUAGUCAUGGUCUUCCCCUUAUCCUCCCUCUUCCCAACCCGUGCUCACCCUUGGACCCUUCCUAUGGACCUUUGUCACAGUUUCAGGUGUUCAUCUAUUCAGCCAUUAAAUAGAUUGUCCCUCCCCCCCCCUUUGCAUUAUUGCUGGGGAAUGUUGACUGGGCAAGGCCCUUGCUCUUGGACUUAAAACAUUAACAAUCCCUGUGUCAUUGCCUUACCCACUUUAUAUUGCUGUAAUGCCUCAGUUGUACUUUCCUUAGUCCCACCCAUCGGACAUGGACCCCUCCACUUCUUUGCAUUGCAUUGCUGACUACCCAAAGUCCCUUCUGUGUUAUUGACACAGUACUGAUUGUCCCAUUUUCCCGCUCAUCAGCCCACGAUUUUCCUACCACUUUGAUGUCAAGUGUGCAGUACUGACUACCAAAAGCAGACCUGAAUUAAGUGGAUGGGCCUUCACUCCUUUUUCUGCAUUUGUUAGUGAUCCAAUUCCAGUUGUCACAUUCUGGGACAGGAACCGUCCCUACCCACCUUUGUUACUGCUUUACUGAGCAAAAUGCUCAAGGCAAGUCAGGCCUAGAAAGCCGGAUUGCUGCCCUUUAUUAUGGAUUUUCAAUAUAAGUAUCAGUUGAAAAUUGUCUCCCCAGGAAGAAAGGUUAGCACCAUCUGUGCAUUCUUCCUUCCAGAGCAGAUUGCCUGGCCAAGAAUCUCUCUUCCCCUCUUGUAUAUUGCUAGUGUACAGUGCCGGUUGCCAGGAUACAAAAAAAAAAAAUGCUGUUUGCAAGAUGGAAUUGUAAACCUGGUCAUUUAAUUUUUGAAGUCCAAAAACCCAUUUAUACUAUGUACCUGAUGACCAGUGUCUCUCAUUUUACUAUGGGUGGUGGGUCUGUGGAUAGACCACUGUGAAUCUUGCUAUUUUCGUAUUCCCAAGAGUUCUAGAGCAGAACUCUUCAGACACAUAUCUUUGGGCUCUACCACCAUUUUAAAACCAUUCUUUAUUCGGGCUUUACCACCGUUCACUUUUAGAAAAACUACCUAAACUUUCUAAUCCUUAAAUUUCUUCAUCUGGAUCAUCAGCCACACUUAUUUCAAGAAGAUUGCUAUAAAAGAAUGAACUGAGAGAACAUAUGCUGAGGCACUUUGGAAAACCAUAGUUCACUUUACCUGAUUAAUCUAUUACAUAAAUAAAAUGCACCCUGUUUAAUUCUGCUAAUUUAAAGUAGCCUGAAGCACUACACUGAAGUGAGGACUUAGAAAUGAUGGGACCAAUUUCCCUGUUUUAUAUUAAAGGAAAAAUAAGCCAAGAUCUAGUCAUUCUUCUGGACAUAAAUUUUCAACAGUGAGAUAGCUUCCUGGUAAAAUGAAUAAUAUCCUAGCCUCUAGUGUGCAGGGUGUGGCAGAAAAGUAUCUAAUAUGGAACUGCUGAAGCAAAUAACUAGUCCUCACAACAGCAGUUCUUUGUAAUCACUGAAAAAGGAUACUAUUCCUCUAACAAGGAUGUCAAAAGAUCGGCCCAGCUCAGGGUGCAGUAUGCACUACUAGCUCCUUGGACCGCUGUAAGAAGAGUCUCUGGCUCUUUAGAAUACUGGAUGAAUUCUGAGCUGGUUUUGUACCUCCAGUCAAGAGGAAGGAUGGAUCAACUUUAAGUGGAUUGAAGCCUGCACUAGACAGCAUCCAAAGUAUCUUGAGAACACUGGAGGUGGGAGGAAGGAGAAAGACGUGUUCCUAUGUGAGAUCUUCCUCAGAAGAAUAGGCUUGUUGCUCUAUAGUGUUAGUGACCCGUUCCCUUUGACGAUCCCUAGGUGGAGAUGGGGCAUGAGGAUCCUCCAGGGGAAAAGCUCACUACCACUGGGCAACAACCCUAGGCCAGGAGGUUCUACCAAGAUUCUUCCCUGGGCCCAGGGAGGAAGAUGAAGUCUCAAAACAACCACCACCCAUCAGAGGUGGGAGAACAUGGGCAACAAGUGCCACAUCUGUGACCUUGAUCAUGGGCAGAUUACCAUUUUGGACCCUCUGGUCCCCAGAGUCUUUCUUGAGGCCCUGUUGGGGAAUUUUGACAAUCAUUUACAUACUUCAAGAUGGCUUAGGAUGUCUUUGGGAUAAAACACAAAACAAGCUGUUUGAGAAGAUAAAUAGGAAUUGUAUACUUGCUGAUUAAUGGAACCUGACCAGAAAUGGCACAAAGUUUCUGUUGUCAGCUCCUGAUUGUUCCCUUCUUAUCUGCCAAAUCACUGUCUCCCAAAAGCAGUGCAGAGUGCAAGAAAGUGGAACAUACCAAAGGAAGAUCAACAUGCCUGGCAUGCUACCAUUUUAGAACAGCAGAAUGAAUGUGUAUGUCUUUGCUUGUCUAUUUCUUUCUUGAAUCUCUUUGGUUUUCUUUCUCUGUCUAAAGUGUGUCUUAGCCAUCCCAUGAUUCUCUUGCUAGUUUCUUCUCUGUAUCUUUGUCUCAUUUUGUUUUUUGUUCCUAAGAGUGGUCUGUGCCUUGUCUUAGAUGUCUCUCUCUAGUUUUGUUGUUGUUGUUGUUGUUGUUACUGAUUCUCUUUACUCUCCUAGAACUGGCUCUUCUUUCACUGUUCUUCCCUUUUUGUCUCUGAGUCACAUGCUGUGUGCUUUUUGUUCAUUUCUUGUUCUGCCUAUACCUCUCUUCUUUUACUGUUGUGAACUCUUGAUUGUUCGUCUUCCCUUCCCCUUGUUGUUGGUUUGACGUUUCACCUUUUUCUCAUUCUGGCUUCCCUUCUGCUUUUUCUACUCAUUAUCUCACAUUUCUCUUUUCUAUAUAUUUGUUCUGCCUCUCUUGGCCAUUUUCUGUCUUUUUUUCCCCUGCUAAGUGUCUCUUUGUUCUUUGUGAUUUUCCAUUUCAGCAUUCAUCUCUGUUCUUUGUGAUUUACUAUUUCAGCAUUCAUCUCUGUUCUUUGUGAUUUACUAUUUCAGCAUUCAUCUCUGUUCUUUGUGAUUUACCAUUUCAGCAUUCAUCUCUGUUCUCUUGUUUCUUCUCUGCUUUUCCCCUUCUGCUUACCUUUGAGUAUUUCAGUCUCUGUAUGUGUCUGUGUUCCCCCCCUUUGACUUUAUGCAGUCCUCUCUCCUUGCAUAUUUUUGUGCAUCUGUGUGGUCAUGUGUGUGUGUUUGUAACAAAGGGGUUUCCUAACCCCUUCCCAAUAGGUGCAGAGUGCCAGCUAUCAAAAUCAUGCAGAGCUGUUCGUUAUGCCAGGACACCUUGUGAGAUGAUCUAAGACCUAUGAUAGACAGAAGGUGGAAGACCCAGAAUGGAUAGAAGGCCCAAUGGUUUGAGACUUGAGACCUGAGGACAAACAUGGAAAACCUGUGUUUCAAGAUAGAUGGAAUCCUCAGACUUGAGAUCAACAAAGCCCUGACAGCUAUGAUGUAAAAAGGUGGCUCUUGUUGGAGAGAAGACCUGACUGAGUUGGAUGGAAAGUUCAAAUCUUGAGUUAGAAGUCCAAAGACCCAGAGUGGGAGACUGUAGGCCUAAGUGUGGGGACCCAUGGAAGGCUUGAGACCUAAGACACAAGGUCUAAGACUUGAGAUAAAAACCUAAGAUCCAGGAUGGAAGGCCCCAGACACACAAAAAGACCCAGGACUCCUGCCUGUCUAAAUGGACAGAAGGCCGAAGAGAGAAAGAUGUCUCAAGGCUAAAUUAGGUGGGAAGCUGGAAGCCCAUGACACAGCAUCUGGGAAGAAUAGAAGCCCCAAGACUAAAGGAAAUCCCAAGAUGAAAACACUAAACCCCAGCUUCUUUCUAUUGCUACCCACCCUACCCCUUGACAUUUUCAGUUCUCCCUUUCCAGUUCUUAUGUUUUCAUUUAAGCCCACUUCUUUUGAGGAGCCCUUUUUGAUGUUGCUAUUACCUUAGGAAACGUAUCUUUAGAUUGGCAAUAUUAUGCGUGGGCCAGUCUUAAGCCAAAUUUUAUCACAGUUUUGAGCCAUUUAUUGUUUAUUUUUUAAAUUUCCAUUUCUCUUCACCUCUGCUCCUUGAGAGACACAUAUAGGUAACAUUGUAUUUCAGUCCUCCCUUUUCCUUAGAAGCUCUAGCCUGAUGAGCAAAGGCAAGCGUCAGGCUGUUGGGGGAAAAAAAGUGCCAGGCUAUCUAGAGGAAAUGUGAAGAGAUGUUCCAGGCCAAUGAGAAGAAUUAGACAAGAAAUACCCAGAUAUGCCAUCCUGUUGAGAAGCACCAGCCUGCAACACCUUUCUUCUUUGAGCUUGGGUGAGCAGGAUUCUUGGGGUUUGGGAUUCCUAGUAAUGGUUACAAAAUGAAUGAUUGGGCCUGGGAUGGGGUGAGGCUCCAAAGAGACAGUUUGAACUCCCUGCUUAUAGUAGUGGCCUAAUAAUUUGGUAGAUUGUGCUAGCAUUGCUCCUGGGUUUAACACCCACCUCUAGGCUUAAAGGUGAGAGAACUUGGGAAUAUUAGCAGGUUUAAUCCUUUCCUUGAUUUUUCCCCCCUUACCACGAGGGCAGAUAAUUUAAAUAACUGAGAAUAUACGUGAAAGCACUGUAAAGCACAGAAAAAACAAGGCAUUCUCAUUAAUAGUAUAUUGGCAGCCAUGCACAGCUAACAUUUAAAGUGCACUGUCAGUUGUGAAGCAUUAUGUAAAUCAGGAGUCAUCACGCACUUUCCAUAAAGGGUCAGAUGGUAAAUAUUUUAGGUUUUGUGGGCCAUAUGGUCUCUGACACAUUUUUUUCCUUUACAACCCUUUAAAAAGGAAAAACUAUUCUUAGCUGGUGAACCAAGUAGAUUUAGUCUGGGGGCCAUAGUUUUUAUCACCCCUGAUGUAAAUACCAGGGACUAUGUGCUGAAUAAUAAUAUUUCUGUAUGCCUGUCCCUGUGUACUAAGGAUGCAAUAUUUAUUUAUGAUCACAUCCAGGUAACUUGAAGAAAAAUAUGUGAAUGUGCUUUGUAAACUAUAAAGCACUUAAAGAUUUAUGAGUUUCAGAGUUGAUGAAUGAAUAUUGAUUACAUAGUAUCUAUAUUCUAAAAGAAGCCUGAAUAAAGUACUUUGUCAAAAGUAUAUAAUACUAUGCAGAUACUAGGAAUUGUUUGAAAAAUGAAUAACUCCUAUAUUUUUGGCUAUCGUGUUUCUGCUGCUCUGGUAAUUUUUAGGUAAAAAUACAGUAUUCCAGGUAGCAGAGAAGCAAACACAUGGAAACUGCUUUGAAACCAUAAAAUAUACUGCAAGCACAGGGUAUUAAACUAUUGUGAGCCCUUAAAAUGUGCCGCAUACCAUGGUAGGUGCUACAGAUGUCAAAGGGAAAAGAAGUGUUCUCAUUAUGGAAUUAAAAAUUUCAGAGUAUGAGGUGCAUGUUAACGUGCUUUAUAUACUAAAGCACUAUAUAAAAGCCAGUGGGUUACAUGUUUAUGAAUGGAUGAAUAUUAAUUGCCUUUUAUGGGCCCGGUACUGUUCGGGUACUGUGAAAUCUAAAAUAAUGCUCCCAUGUAAUAAGAGGGAGGUUUAUGUCCUAGACUAUUUAGAUAUAAGGAAUUAGAUAUUGCUUGUUUUAAUCAAGACUUUACUGGUCAUGUCAAAUUAAAUGAUCAGUAUGUUUUCCCAGGUGACGGGAAAAUGUAAUGAUUGAGAUUGCCCUUGCACUUUCUAAAGUGCUCUAUAAAUAUAGGACAUUAUCUAUUUUCUGUGUGAAUAAAACUUUCUGUGAGAUAGGCAUUUUCUGUACAAAAUUCUCAUUGUGUGCUUGACUAUGAUGAAGGUAGUAUAAACAGUUAUACAAACUGAGGGUUUAAAUACUUGUUGAAUGAAUGAAUAUCAUCAGUUGCUCACUAGGUAAACUCACUAUUAGAGGCACUAAAGAGAUAGACUUAUCAUUUCAUUGUGCUUACAGCUGAGAAUAAGGCAAUACAUGUGUAGUAUUUUGGAAACUCUAAAGCACCUUGUAAGUUUAACUACUUAUUUUCUAAUUUGGUGCUGAGUACUAGGCUUAUAAAAUUAUAUUGCAGUCGUCAUUAUACUAUGAAAAAAGUUGAAAAAUUUUUGAGGAAAAAUUACCUCUUGAACACUCUGAAUGUAAUAUAUAAAGGAUUAAAUAUCUGAUAAAUAUAAAACUGGAUAAUAAUUGUCUAUUAUGUGCCAAUCUCAUAAGUCAUUGGCGAUGUGAAAUUAGACCAUCUUUAUUGUGUCCUGGGUAGCAGCAGAUAAUGUAUAAAAUCAAUUUAUAAGUCUUAUACUGCCAAAACAAUAUCUGCUGAGUGAACAUUGAUUAUUUACUUUUAUCCCCAGAGAUAGCAAGUGGGGAUGCAAAAAUUCGUUAUCAGAGGUGUGCAAAUUUACAGAGCCUACUGUUCUAUACAGAUAUAAGGAAAUAAUUUGGCUUAAUGAAUGAUUACUGGUUACUUUCUAUGAGGCUCAGAACUGUCCAUGCCCUACGAUACGAAAAUGAUUUUAUCCUUAUGGGGUGUUCAUUGGAGGAAAUAAGCAAAUAGGUGGGAGAUCCAGACUAAAAGUUACUUAAGCACUGCAAAGCUUAUUUAAUAAAAACAUGGGGAAAAUGGAAUUGUGCCAGGCAGUAUGCUAAAUGCUGACCUCUGUGGAAAGAUAAAAUCUGAAUCAGAGGUGUACUUGCUCCCUGACCUGGCUGAAGAGAUGGGAAAUAUUUUUAAAAAGCAAGGUGUUACAGUUCUCUCAGUCUUUAAAAUGCUGAAUGCUGAAGGUGGAAGUGAAUUCAGUCCACCCUGGUCUGGCUUGAGUCAUUAAAGGAGUAAAAAUAAAUGACUCAGGAGUAAAAAGCAAAUGGCUUUGUUUUUAGAUUCAUUUGAGAUGAAAGACAUCGUUCUAGGUCCUAAGAGAAGUGAAAUGGGCCAAGUCUAAAGGGCAUUAGAAUACAGAUUAUGGAUGAAGAUAAGAAAAUACUGAGUUUUGAGCAAAUAUUUGAGUGCCUGUUCUCCGGAACGUAUUAUGCUAGAAAAAUUAGUUAAGUGGGUCUGGUCCAGAAAAUGCACAUUGACAUGCCUUGGAGAUUAAAAAAAAUAGAAAAAUAAGGCAUGGUUCUUUUAAUAUUAAAUGAAGACAUUAUUUCUAGUUCUAGAAAGUCCCAAUGUCACUUGCUCAUUGAUCUAGUUUGAAGCCCGAAGACUGAUACAAGGGCGCUUAGGACUUGUCCUUUUAUUCGUUACUUUAAUACUCUGUUUUUAUUAUAGAUGAAUGAUUUAAGAUGAGAAUUAAGAUGAAAUAACUGGUUUUAAAAAUAUUUGCUCAUUGACCUGGCUUAGAUCCAGGAAGCCACUUGAGCAGAUUUUUUCCCUACAUUUUCCAUAUUUUGUAAAAAUUUAUUUACCCUGAAUAAAGUACUGUUCUCAAAUGCUGAGAAUUAAGAAAUAAAAGUCCUAGACCAAAAUGUAAUUUAAUCUCAAUAGUCUAUGGUGGAAACACAAGAACAAAUUUAAUAAGAGACUGCAGUUCUUUUAUUACUUGAAUAAAUGUUAUUGAGCUUCUAGGAUAUUAAGACACUAAGAACAAGUGACCACCUUCUCUUUGGCAUGUUUUGUAAAGUGGGAAUAAGAGAGGGCUUUCUAUUAAUUCAUACUAAUACUGAAGGUGAUGUUAAAUUGGAACAGAUCUGGUAUAAAAUGCACUUAGUUUAUCUUGGAGAUGCAAUAAAACAAAACAACACAGAAAAUGGAAUGAAAUUCUUCCUUAAAUGGAAGUGUCUAUUUAAAGGUAUUCUGUUGCUAGACAGAAAACAAAAAAGAUCAUGACUGAAAGAAACUGAUUUUUUAUUAGCUUGGAGACUAGGAUAUAAGAGGUUACUGUUCAUUUCUGCAUUCUACAAGUAUGUUUGAGUGCCUAUUAUGUAUAAGGUUUUUUGCUAUGUUCCCAGUUCUCCUCAGAGACACGAAGAAAUGAAUGCUUUCCUAUAGAACUUUUAAAACUUUCCUUUUGGUCUGUUUUCUAAUUAGGGGCAUGGCUUAGUCCCUUAAUAAUGUUGUAGGUUUUAAUUCCUGUUCUGUAUUUCUUCUACCACUCUGGCCACUACAGUAAGCAGGGUUUUCUAUUGAGCUAGCUCUUUAAGUGUGAGGAACUUUCCUUAUAGUAGAAUUACUUUAUUUUUCUUGGCCCAUUCCUCAGAAAAAAUGGCUGUGACCACUGCUAGGCAGAAGGAGGGAUGAGAAACAACCAAUUCCCAAACCCCAGUCUCAUUGGUACCAGCCUUGGGGAAACAUACCCAAGCCACAGUUGGUUUUGAAACACAUUUAUCAGUUUUAUUUGCUUUUAAUUCUUUACAUUUUACAUUCUGACAAAUAUACACUGCCUAAAUCUCUUUUAAGAACAAUCUUCAGAUGGUACAUAACAUAAUGGGAGAGACAUGAUUUCUCUUUUGCAACAGCUUUGCAACUUAAUCUUUAGAAAUCUCACCAUCAAAACAUGUUCAAGAAAGGAUCUCUUAUAGUGGAAUUAUGUCAGUGAAUAAAAAUAGCUUAAUUUUACCAUAUUUAAAAUUAUAAAAUAAUAGAAAUUGGAAGUAAUUGGCAAAAAUUGGAGGUAAACAAUAAAAAAAUCCUCAAUCUAGCGCCCAACUGGGCUUUGACCUUUUCUAUUUUUAAAUCACUCACAGAGGGUGGGAUUAGGAGGAAGAGUGAAAGAGAAGGUCAAACCAGUUUUAAGGGCAGCCUGCUUGUGUUUUGGAUUGGUUUUAAGAGCAUUACUACCUCCAAAUCAAACUAGGGGAUUGCUUUUUUUAGUUUAAUGCAAUUCCAAUAACUGGCCAUUGUUGAGAUGAAGACACAGUAGUUUUUGAGAAACAAUUUUGGACUAAAUGUUUAUCAACUAAAUACUAAUGUUUGGCUUUUAAUAUGUGGUAUCAGCUAGAUUCUGUAACACUCUUAUUUUCAGGUUGGGGUCGGGGAUUACAUUACUGGAAAUUGGAAAGGAGAAAGUAACUAAAAGCCUUCCUUUCACAGUUUCUGGCAUCUUAAGACUACUGCUACUGAUAAGAAUAAGAACAUGCUGUCAUCUGAUUUUUAUGGCAUAAAUGAAAUUGUGGACAAAUCCGUUUUUAAAGAAAAUGGCUUCGUCUCUACCUUUCUACCUAAAAAGGAAUCUCUGUCAAAUGCUCCGAUAAAUGGGAAGAUACACUUGGACUUGUGAACUGAUGUGAAAUGCAGAAUUUUUUAGCUUUGAGUGUUUUGAAGAUUGAAAAAUCUUGCUCAGCAUGGGUGACCACAAAAACAAUCUAAAGCCAUCUACAUGUCACAACUGAGAGAAAUUGGGGAAUGUUGUCUAAUGUCAAAUAAAAUGUACUGUUUUGAAA
Mirounga angustirostris (Northern elephant seal) is the source of this 26234-nucleotide long non-coding RNA. RefSeq lists it as uncharacterized. The record is from RefSeq and is a predicted model, not a curated record. The transcript has 7 exons. NCBI's taxonomy places the organism in Eukaryota, Metazoa, Chordata, Mammalia, Carnivora, Phocidae.